Molecule: ribosomal RNA, 588 nt
Filed under: uncultured bacterium
Lineage: Bacteria
Description: bacterial SSU rRNA
Rfam family: Bacterial small subunit ribosomal RNA
Source: RNAcentral
CCUACGGGAGGCAGCAGUAGGGAAUCUUCCGCAAUGGACGAAAGUCUGACGGAGCAACGCCGCGUGAGUGAUGAAGGUUUUCGGAUCGUAAAGCUCUGUUGUUAGGGAAGAACAAGUGCGAGAGUAACUGCUCGCACCUUGACGGUACCUAACCAGAAAGCCACGGCUAACUACGUGCCAGCAGCCGCGGUAAUACGUAGGUGGCAAGCGUUGUCCGGAAUUAUUGGGCGUAAAGGGCUCGCAGGCGGUUUCUUAAGUCUGAUGUGAAAGCCCCCGGCUCAACCGGGGAGGGUCAUUGGAAACUGGGAAACUUGAGUGCAGAGGAGGAGAGUGGAAUUCCACGUGUAGCGGUGAAAUGCGUAGAGAUGUGGAGGAACACCAGUGGCGAAGGCGACUCUCUGGUCUGUAACUGACGCUGAGGAGCGAAAGCGUGGGGAGCGAACAGGAUUAGAUACCCUGGUAGUCCACGCCGUAAACGAUGAGUGCUAAGUGUUAGGGGGUUUCCGCCCCUUAGUGCUGCAGCUAACGCAUUAAGCACUCCGCCUGGGGAGUACGGUCGCAAGACUGAAACUCAAAGGAAUUGACGGA